CCUACGGGUGGCAGCAGUGGGGGAUAUUGCACAAUGGGGGGAACACUGAUGCAGCGACGCCGCGUGGGUGAAGGAGCGUUUCGGCGCGUAAAGCCCUAUCGGCAGGGAAGAAGGAGGACGGUACCUGCCUAAGAAGCCCCGGCUAACUACGUGCCAGCAGCCGCGGUAAUAAGUAGGGGGCAAGCGUUAUCCGGAUUUACUGGGUGUAAAGGGGGCGCAGACGGCAGCGCAAGCCAGGAGUGAAAGCCCGGGGCCCAACCCCGGGACGGCUCUUGGAACUGCGCGGCUUGAGUGCAGGAGGGGCAGGCGGAAUUCCUGGUGUAGCGGUGAAAUGCGUAGAUAUCAGGAGGAACACCGGUGGCGAAGGCGGCCUGCUGGACUGCGACUGACGUUGAGGCCCGAAAGCGUGGGGAGCAAACAGGAUUAGAUACCCUAGUAGUC
This 441-nucleotide ribosomal RNA is filed under the name uncultured bacterium. Its description in RNAcentral is "partial 16S ribosomal RNA". It matches the Rfam family "Bacterial small subunit ribosomal RNA", at positions 338 to 795 of the family's 1533-position model. The record is from RNAcentral.